Molecule: ribosomal RNA, 468 nt
Filed under: uncultured bacterium
Lineage: Bacteria
Description: partial 16S ribosomal RNA
Rfam family: Bacterial small subunit ribosomal RNA
Source: RNAcentral
GACGAACGCUGGCGGCGUGCUUAACACAUGCAAGUCGAACGGAAGGGCCCUGCGUUUGUUGGGUUCUCGAGUGGCGAACGGGUGAGUAUCACGCGAGUAUCCUGCCCUUGUCUUUGGGAUAACUUCACGAAACUGGGGCUAUUAUAGGAUAGGAUCUCCUGCUGCACGGUGUGGGAUGGAAAGAUACGGUGGUGGGGGAUGGACUCGCGGCUUAUCAGCUUGUUGGUCGGGUAGUGGAGUACCAAGGCUUUGAGGGGUAGCCGGCCUGGGAGGGUGACCGGCCACAUUGGUACUGAGGUACGGACCAGACUCCUACGGGAGGCAGUGGUGGGAAAUCUUGCGCAGUGGGCGGACGCGUGAUGCGGAAGCGCCGGGUGCGGAAUGCCGGCCUUCGAGUGGUAAACCGCUUUCGCAUGUGACGAGGCGUGAGUGACGGUAAUGGGUAAAGAAGCACCGGCUAACUACGUG